Phyllopteryx taeniolatus (common seadragon) is the source of this 2112-nucleotide long non-coding RNA. RefSeq lists it as uncharacterized. The transcript has 2 exons. NCBI's taxonomy places the organism in Eukaryota, Metazoa, Chordata, Actinopteri, Syngnathiformes, Syngnathidae. The record is from RefSeq and is a predicted model, not a curated record.
UUACAUAUAAAUAUGAAUUAAAUUAUACAUAUACAUAUUAUGUAUAUUAAAAUAUAUUCUUACUUUGUUGUUAAAAUGAUACGAAAGGACUCGAAACUCAAAGUGUAAGACUUGCGACUUGCCUUCUAAAAAUUAAGUGCAUCAAAUGACGCAUAAAUGAAAUAAAACAAAAAUGCUAUAAACCAUAGUUUUCAAAACCUCACAUCUCUUAAGUGGCAACGUGACAUUCCUUACAUACUCCAUGAUCUCACCCACUGGACAAAAAUAAUUCGACUCUUCUGUUCAUUAGAAGUAGAUCAAGUAAAGGUUGACUUGAUCUUUCAGAUUGUAAAAAGAUUUAUACUUAUUAAAUACUGUAUUCAUUUCCCCUCUGUACACACAAGUGAAAUCAGUAAAUGUUUUGUGGUCAUCAUCUUGAAUAAAGACUUUGAUAAGGAUUUGCGUGUCCAUACACAAGCCUGAUAAUGUGCAACCUUUCGGAGCGUGUAGAGCAUAGGUGUCAAACUCAGGGCCCGGGGGCCAAAUGCAGCCCGCCACAUUAUUUUAUGUGGCCCGUGAAAGCCAAUCAUGCUCGUCAACUUCCGUGAUUUUUACUAAAAUCUGUACCCAAAUUCCAAAUUGUCAUAAUAAUAAACAAUAAUGUUGAGAUAUUGCAUUUUUCUGUUACCAAACCCUUCUUCUACAGUAACUUAAACAAUACUUGAACAAAUUAUUAUCCUUGUUUUCUGAUUUCAAAAGUAGUUAUCCCUCAAUUUGUUGUGUAAUGGUAAUAAUAUAAUUUGGUGAUUAAACAUUUUCAUUUGGUUUCACUGUUCUAACGGCCCCCUGAGGAAAAUCAUAACUACAAUGCGGCCCGAGACAAAAAUGAGUUUGACACCCCUGGUGUAGAGUGUAGAACGGUGACAGUGUGUGGUCAUACGGCCACAGUUAUUGCUUUCUUUCUUCUUCAAGAAUUGACAUCUUCUGUUGACUUCACAAUUGUUUGUUUUCACACAUAAAAAAAUACUUAGGUUUUCACAGUGGUUACACCUCUAACAAGAAACCGAGCAUAGACAUUUUGCAUUAUUUAUUGUUUGUAGUGUCAUGAGCUGUGCCCUGCAGUCCUUUUGUUGGCACUUGGGUGGCCCCUUUGCGCUCCUCUCUCUCUCUCUCUCUCUCUCUCUCUCUUCCCAGUAAUCAGCACCUCCUCGGCCACACACCUGUCACCAACCAGCCUUCUUCAUCAUCUGCAUUUAAGCCUGCCAGUUCCAAGACUCCACUGCUCGAGUAUUAACGUUCUUCUGUGUGCUCCCUCCGUGUCCCCCGCCGAGUGGACAUCUUCCACCACGCCGCCAUGCCAGCCGCCUGUUCUCGCCACCGCCUGCCACACGUUCCCUGCCUCCACAACUCGCCAGCACGUCUCAAGGAACAUCUCCAUUUCCUCUUUUAAUAAACCUUUCAUCAUAACCCCUCAGCCUCUCCCUGCUUCUGGGUCCAGUCAAAAACGAACCGUGACAUGUAGUCCAUAUAAUUGGAUACACCUCGGCUGCAAAACACACCUAUCAAACGUGUGUUCCAAUACCUCCCCCUAGGAAAAAUGGGUGGGUUCAAACAAAAAGUCAAAUUUGUGUAUCAAAUCCAGAUGUUAAUAUCUGUCAAUAAAAAUGGCAAUGUUGAUCACUUGUCUCAGAUUCAUGUUUGAUGUCAACCCCAAAUGUUGUCAGUCAACCCUAACAAAAUAAAGGAAUUAAUCUCAAUGUUCCAGUAUUAUUUGCGGUGACUAUAGUAUAUUCCAAUUUGGAUGUUACUUGCCAUUACUCCUUAUUUUCCAACCAUGAAAAUGUAAUGGAACCAAUCGCUACUGUCCAGAUGAGCACUGUAUAAAUAAGACUGAGGAGAAAAUAAAUAAAACACAACACGAUUUAGGGUUUCCUUAUUUAUGUAAAAUUUGUAUGUACACGUAACAGUCAGAAAUGCACACAAAAUAGUGCUAAAACAGACCAACAAUAUCAAACAAAACACUUCAGACAACAGUUUACACUUUUUCAGGUGAAAACAUGUCAAACUGCAAACAAUUUCAAUUCAGCUUAAUAAUGAUUACUACAAAUACAAAGUUGCACUAGAGGCACAUAU